UGAAGGACGUGCUAAUCUGCGAUAAGCGUCGGUAAGGUGAUAUGAACCGUUAUAACCGGCGAUUUCCGAAUGGGGAAACCCAGUGUGUUUCGACACACUAUCAUUAACUGAAUCCAUAGGUUAAUGAGGCGAACCGGGGGAACUGAAACAUCUAAGUACCCCGAGGAAAAGAAAUCAACCGAGAUUCCCCCAGUAGCGGCGAGCGAACGGGGAGCAGCCCAGAGCCUGAAUCAGUAUGUGUGUUAGUGGAAGCGUCUGGAAAGGCGCGCGAUACAGGGUGACAGCCCCGUACACAAAAAUGCACAUGCUGUGAGCUCGAUGAGUAGGGCGGGACACGUGGUAUCCUGUCUGAAUAUGGGGGGACCAUCCUCCAAGGCUAAAUACUCCUGACUGACCGAUAGUGAACCAGUACCGUGAGGGAAAGGCGAAAAGAACCCCGGCGAGGGGAGUGAAAAAGAACCUGAAACCGUGU
RNAcentral lists this ribosomal RNA (472 nucleotides) under Escherichia coli. RNAcentral describes it as "partial 23S ribosomal RNA". It matches the Rfam family "Bacterial large subunit ribosomal RNA", at positions 50 to 561 of the family's 2925-position model. Lineage: Bacteria; Pseudomonadati; Pseudomonadota; Gammaproteobacteria; Enterobacterales; Enterobacteriaceae. The record is from RNAcentral.